GACGAACGCUGGCGGCGUGGAUUAGGCAUGCAAGUCGAACGGUAUCAUCCUUUCGGGGGUGAGAGAGUGGCGAACUGGUGAGUAACACGUAGGUUAUCUACCCUCAAGACGGGGACAACCCAGGGAAACUUGGGCUAAUACCGGAUGUGAGCAACUUUUAGUUGUUUGAAAGGUGGCGUAAGCUGUCGCUUGGGGAUGAGCCUGCGUCCUAUUAGUUAGUUGGUGAGGUAACGGCUCACCUAGGCAAUGAUAGGUAGGCGGCCUUAACGGGUGGUCGCCCACACUGGGAUUGAGAUACGGCCCAGACUCCUACGGGAGGCAGCAGUCGAGAAUAGUCUACAAUGGUCGGAAGACUGAUAGUGCGACGCCGCGUGAACGAUGAAUCCCUUCGGGGUGUAAAGUUCUUUUAUAUGUGAGCAGUGCUUCUUAUAUUUAACAGUAAUGGGGGAGUAGAGAUAUUAGCAUAUGAAUAAGCAAACGGCUAAACUCCGUGCCAGCCAGCCGCGGUAAACUCGU
This 516-nucleotide ribosomal RNA is filed under the name uncultured bacterium. Its description in RNAcentral is "bacterial SSU rRNA". It matches the Rfam family "Bacterial small subunit ribosomal RNA", at positions 28 to 528 of the family's 1533-position model. The record is from RNAcentral.